CCUACGGGCGGCAGCAGUGGGGAAUAUUGGGCAAUGGAGGAAACUCUGACCCAGCAACGUCGCGUGAAUGAUGAAGGUCCUCGGAUUGUAAAGUUCUUUUCUAAGGGAAGAAGAAAGUGACGGUACCUUAGGAAUAAGCCUCGGCUAACUACGUGCCAGCAGCCGCGGUAAUACGUAGGAGGCGAGCGUUAUCCGGAAUGACUGGGCGUACAGGGUGCGUAGGUGGUUUGGCAAGUUAGUAGCGAAACUCCAAGGCUCAACCUUGGAACUACUACGAGAACUGUUGGACUUGAGUGCAGGGUGGGCAACCGGAAUUCCUGGUGUAGCGGUGGAAUGCGUAGAUAUUAGGAAGAACACCAGUGGCGAAGGCGGGUUGCUAGACUGUAACUGACACUGAGGCACGAAAGCGUGGGGAGCGAACAGGAUUAGAUACCCUUGUAGUC
RNAcentral lists this ribosomal RNA (443 nucleotides) under uncultured bacterium. Its description in RNAcentral is "partial 16S ribosomal RNA". It matches the Rfam family "Bacterial small subunit ribosomal RNA", at positions 338 to 795 of the family's 1533-position model. The record is from RNAcentral.